Molecule: unclassified non-coding RNA, 210 nt
Filed under: Hevea brasiliensis (rubber tree)
Lineage: Eukaryota; Viridiplantae; Streptophyta; Magnoliopsida; Malpighiales; Euphorbiaceae
Source: RNAcentral
GGGCCGAUGGCGAGGAGCGGAGGUGGGUGACGGAAAGAGGGAAAUGGGAAUUUCAAAAGGGAAGGGAUGGGUUUAAGAGUGAAAGAUUUUAAAUAAAGAAAGCUGGGGUGAGAAGAAAGAGAGUGCAAUUGCGAAGUGAAAGUGAAAGCCAUGAAAAGGAGAAAGAGAAGUUGCAGAGAAUGGAGAUGAGGGUUUGGAGGGGAAAGGGGA